Long non-coding RNA from Nycticebus coucang (slow loris), 1672 nucleotides. RefSeq lists it as uncharacterized. The record is from RefSeq and is a predicted model, not a curated record. The transcript has 4 exons. Lineage: Eukaryota; Metazoa; Chordata; Mammalia; Primates; Lorisidae.
CCGCUUCCCGCCCUGCCGGGACCGCGCUCCCAGGCCGGCGUCCGAGCCCACCUGGCGUUCCUUCCCCGGGGACCCCAGCCCGAGAGGUGACGGUGGCGGUCCGGCUGCCGGUCGCGGGAAGAUUUUGGUGGAGCCCGGGCCCCAGACCUUCGGGCACGACUCGUGGACAGGACCGGGCAGAGCCCUGCCCUAACUUUUAGCCUGGAUAAGACUAUGCUGGAGAGUAAUACAAGAGGAAUUCUAAUACUUCAAACUCAAUUAAAGGGGGCCACCACUGAGUCUCAAUCUCAAUCAGCAGUUCUAAAUGACUGUUGGUGUUUCUUCCCAACACUUGAGCUUACAUAAUGAAUUCCAGAUUCUGGGAGAGUGGCUACAAGCUCUAGCCCUGCCUUGCCCUGGAUGCAGGGGAUUAGGACAUGCAUGUUUGACAAUGUGACUUUCAUGGGAACUUCUUUACCUUGGUGAAAAGACCAAUGCCUACUUAUCUGACCUGUGACCAGGCCAUAUGGAAUUUUGGGUGACUGGAUUGAGUCAGGUCGAUGGAGUCAACAUGUCCCAGAGGGAGGUGAUGACCACCAAAGGAUUGUAUAAAACAGAUAUCUGCACCAACCACGCUGAAUAACUGGGAAGAGGUGGAGAACAGAAACAGUGUCCAGAGUAAGUGUGUGCUUCUUCCGGUAUGAGAAGAUACAGCCUAUAUUCACAAUGGAUGCUGAGGAACAUUCAAUAUAAAAAUCAACUACACAUGCUCAGAAUUCACUUCUACACAUGCUCUUUGAGUCCUGCUGAUGUAAAUUGAAAACACCCUGUAGUUCCUUCAGUACAUAAGCUCUCUUCCCCGGAAGCAGGUAGCACCCCUCCUGUGUGAGGCUGAGAACUAACUCAAGGGCCUAGACAGGCAAUGAGGAGAGGUAGGGGUGGGAUGUGAGAAUCACCUCAGUGUGUGAGCACUUGAGACAGGUGCUGUCACUGGAACACUUUUCUUUUAACAGUGAGGGUGAGACUCCCUAACACGGCAAAGGAACUUCCGGGAAUAAGGGGGCCAGGGAGACAGGGCUCCCAAAAUUCUCAGCAUUGAGUGUGAGCGCCCAAUUUCCCAUUACUCCUCUCAGCGGCCCGCAUUUUCCCCUUCAGGCCUGAUCUAGGCAGGAGCCCUGGCAGGAUCCAGCACCAAAGUGGGGCUACGAUCUAAAUCCUCUGAUUAGCCCCAGUACUUGUUUUUCAUCCUGAUCUGCUCUAGGAAGAAAAGACUGACCCUUUCAAACUGCCCUGGAGAAGUUCUUAUUUUCCAUGUGUGUGCUUUGCUGGUUUCAAUAUCUCCUUUCCCUACACUAAUUUUAAGGGCAUCUAGAAGAAACCUGAUAAUACUAUGACCUUCAUACCACUUGUGUUUUGACAAAUACUAAUUGCCGGAGCCCCCAGGAUCACCCAUAACUGUGCCAUGACCCUCACUUUACCCUCAACCAGCACUGAUGAUCUUUUGAAUAUCACUGCAUUUCAGGUAUCACUCCCAGAAAAGAGAGGAUUCCAGGUAUAUUAAAUUUUAAAAUAACCCAAUUCCAUCAUUCCAUUUUUGUGGGUUUAAUUCCUACAUCCACUCCAGACACCAUUUAUCACAAGAAUCCUCACAGGAGUCAGAACCAUCAAAAGGAUAUUAGAAGUAAAUUUUAAU